Molecule: long non-coding RNA, 380 nt
Filed under: Chinchilla lanigera (long-tailed chinchilla)
Lineage: Eukaryota; Metazoa; Chordata; Mammalia; Rodentia; Chinchillidae
Description: lncRNA (ENSCLAG00000026081.1)
Source: RNAcentral
UCUGAUGUCAUCUGUAAAAAAUGAAACUUGAAUUGUAAAUAUUGAAAAUUAUCACUGAAUUUUAAGUAAUAUUCUUGUUGAUGAUGAUGAUGAUAAUUCCCCACAGUUUUCCAAAUUUACCUGACACUUUACUAUUUAAGGAGUUUGGUAGGAAGAACCUGAGUCUGGAGUGCUGGGAGUGGUUACCUGGGAGAUCUGGGCCCCUGAAUAAUUCACUCCUAUGGGGAGCCUGGGCUAUUCGCCUGAGCGGUUGCCUUCAAGAAUCUCUGGAGACUGGGCAUCAGGUCUUAAGAGAGACAGUGGGCAGGUCCUUCCCAAAGAAUUCCAUGGCUGCAUUCUUCCCAAGUGCAAUACUACCGCUGUGUACCGGUGAUCCGUGC